Molecule: ribosomal RNA, 428 nt
Filed under: uncultured bacterium
Lineage: Bacteria
Description: partial 16S ribosomal RNA
Rfam family: Bacterial small subunit ribosomal RNA
Source: RNAcentral
GUGGGGAAUAUUGGGCAAUGGGCGAAAGCCUGACCCAGCAACGCCGCGUGAAGGAAGAAGGUUUUCGGAUUGUAAACUUCUGUCCUCAGGGAAGAAGGAAGUGACGGUACCUGAGGAGGAAGCCCCGGCUAACUACGUGCCAGCAGCCGCGGUAAUACGUAGGGGGCGAGCGUUGUCCGGAAUGACUGGGCGUAAAGGGCGCGUAGACGGCUGUCUAAGUCUGGAGUGAAAGUCCUGCUUUCAAGGUGGGAAUUGCUUUGGAGACUGGAUGGCUUGAGUGCGGAAGAGGUAAGUGGAAUUCCCAGUGUAGCGGUGAAAUGCGUAGAGAUUGGGAAGAACACCAGUGGCGAAGGCGACUUACUGGGCCGUAACUGACGUUGAUGCGCGAAAGCGUGGGGAGCGAACAGGAUUAGAAACCCCAGUAGUCC